This 406-nucleotide ribosomal RNA is filed under the name uncultured bacterium. RNAcentral's name for it is "partial 16S ribosomal RNA". It matches the Rfam family "Bacterial small subunit ribosomal RNA", at positions 30 to 526 of the family's 1533-position model. The record is from RNAcentral.
AUUGAACGCUGGCGGCAGGCCUAACACAUGCAAGUCGAACGAGUGGCGGACGGGUGAGUAAUGUCUGGGAAAAUGCCUGAUGGAGGGGGAUAAAUACUGGGAACGGUAGCUAAUACCGCAUACAAUCAGAUGUGCCCAGAUGGGAUUAGCUAGUAGGUGGGGUAAUGGCUCACCGAGGCGACGAUCCCUAGCUUGUCUGAGAGGAUGACCAUCCCCACUGGAACUGAGACACGGUCCAGACCCCUACGGGAGGCAGCAGUGGGGAAGAUUGCACAAUGGGCGCAAGCCUGAUGCAGCCAUGCCGCGUGUGUGAUGAAGGCCUUCGGGUUGUAAAGCACUUUCAGCGGGGAGGCGUUACCCGCAGAAGAAGCACCGGCUAACUCCGUGCCAGCAGCCGCGGUAAUUC